This 474-nucleotide ribosomal RNA is filed under the name uncultured bacterium. Its description in RNAcentral is "bacterial SSU rRNA". It matches the Rfam family "Bacterial small subunit ribosomal RNA", at positions 28 to 526 of the family's 1533-position model. The record is from RNAcentral.
GAUGAACGCUGGCGGCGUGCCUAAUACAUGCAAGUCGAACUUGAUUUUCGGAUUGAGUGGCGAACGGGUGAGUAAGACAUAGGUCACCUGGCUUAUAGAGGGGGAUAACCACUGGAAACGGUGGAUAAUACCGCAUGAAUAUAUCGAAGGCAUCUUGGAUAUAUAAAAGGAGCUAAUGAUUCGCUAUAAGAUGGGCUUGCGACGGAUUAGCUAGUUGGUAAGGUAAAAGCUUACCAAGGCAACGAUCAGUAGCCGGACUGAGAGGUCGAUCGGCCACAUUGGGACUGAGACACGGCCCAGACUCCUACGGGAGGCAGCAGUGGGGAAUAUUGGGCAAUGGGCGAAAGCCUGACCCAGCGACGCCGCGUGGAGGAAGAAGGUUUUCGGAUUGUAAACUCCUGUCUUCGGGGAAGAUAAUGACGGUACCCGAGGAGGAAGCCACGGCUAACUACGUACCAGCAGCCGCGGUAACAC